This 561-nucleotide ribosomal RNA is filed under the name uncultured bacterium. RNAcentral describes it as "bacterial SSU rRNA". It matches the Rfam family "Bacterial small subunit ribosomal RNA", at positions 11 to 576 of the family's 1533-position model. The record is from RNAcentral.
GUUUGAUCAUGGCUCAGGAUGAACGCUAGCGGGAGGCCUAACACAUGCAAGCCGAGCGUAUUUGUCCUUCGGGACAGAGAGAGCGGCGUACGGGUGCGGAACACGUGUGCAACCUGCCUUUAUCUGGGGGAUAGCCUUUCGAAAGGAAGAUUAAUACCCCAUAACAUACGAUACGGCAUCGUAUCAUAUUGAAAACUCCGGUGGAUAGGGAUGGGCACGCGCAAGAUUAGAUAGUUGGUGAGGUAACGGCUCACCAAGUCAAUGAUCUUUAGGGGGCCUGAGAGGGUGAUCCCCCACACUGGUACUGAGACACGGACCAGACUCCUACGGGAGGCAGCAGUGAGGAAUAUUGGACAAUGGGUGAGAGCCUGAUCCAGCCAUCCCGCGUGAAGGACUAAGGCCCUAUGGGUUGUAAACUUCUUUUAUACUGGGAUAAACCUACUUACGUGUAAGUAGCUGAAGGUACAGUAUGAAUUAAGCACGGCUAACUCCGUGCCAGCAGCCGCGGUAAUACGGAGGGUGCAGGCGUUAUCCGGAUUUAUUGGUUAAGGGUCCGUAGCG